GGGGAUGAUUUCCGUAAAGGUGCAUGAGUGGUGUUUGGUUUGUUGCGGAUGGUUGGAUGUCUGCUUGCGCAGCAACUUCCAUGCGGGCUUACCUCUUCAAUUGUGCUACAAGCCUUGUUUGGCUUGCAUCGUUUGGUGGGUUUCUUGUGUUGCUUACCUAAUCGAUGGCAUUGUUUGUCCCUAUAAGUUAGAUUUUGUAACACGUUGCUUGCGGCGUGAUACAAACGAUGAAGCAACCUUUGUUGUUCAACCUGUUGCUGCUCAUGCAUCGAUGGCUUGGCCCAUGAAGUGUUGAUUGGUCCCUUGGAUAUGGAACAUGAUGUGGGCACAAGUUCACCAAAGAUCUUGAAUUUGCCCUUAUCGAGUGAUUUAGCUUCUUUAAAUGACCGUCGUCCGUGUAUCGACAAGUCGGUGUAUG
Molecule: unclassified non-coding RNA, 418 nt
Filed under: Tragopogon acanthocarpus
Lineage: Eukaryota; Viridiplantae; Streptophyta; Magnoliopsida; Asterales; Asteraceae
Description: partial external transcribed spacer
Source: RNAcentral